Molecule: non-coding RNA, 1441 nt
Organism: Peromyscus maniculatus bairdii (prairie deer mouse)
Lineage: Eukaryota; Metazoa; Chordata; Mammalia; Rodentia; Cricetidae
Source: RefSeq, a predicted model, not a curated record
CAUGUCAGAUGCCUCUUUGCUUUAGGUACCUGCUUCACUGGCUGCUGUCAAAAGACUGUUAAGAACCUGCUCUAUAGUGCUGAGUCCUGCAGGGCUUGGUCCUGGGACCCUGACUGGAGUGGUGGAAGAAAUGAACAGAUGGAAUGAAGAAAGGACAGACACACAGACACAUACAGAAAAGUCUCCACGCUGAGAAGUACUCCAGGGUUCUGAGCACGCGUGUCACAGCUGACUCGGAGUGAAAUGAAGAAAACAACCCUGGUGGAUUAGCACUGAAGACACUCCUAAUUUCCCCAGCAGCAGAAACGGGAUGAGCUAAGUCUAUGUGUAUAAGUCUCCAUGAAAUAAACAGCUUUUCCUCUGUGAUGUGUUCCUGUCAUCAUUAUGGACUGCUGUACCACAGGUCCAAAGCGACAGACACGGCUGCUUACACCUCAAACCCUCCGGAACACAGUGCCCUAGUAAAACCUUCCUCCUUGUGGGGCAUUCAUGUCAGCGGUUUGCCACCACGAGGGAAGGAGGACCAGACUUCUCCAUACAAUGGCCCAUCCGUGACAGCUAAGCAGAAGGCAGAGUCUUAUUUCCUACUGGUCUAUUCUUUGAGAAACAAAUUCCCAGGUCUCCACUUGUGACUGUUAUAGCUCCACGUGUCUCCCUGGUGGUUCCAUUCGUGCUAACACAGUCAAUCUGCUUGCUAGGUUACUGUAGCCUUAAAGAGUCCGUAAAUUUUUUUGUGGGAUAUUUACACUCCACUGAACAGCAUUUGAUGUAAAAGCAUCGAUAGCGAGCAUUUUAGUGGUGUGUUAUCUGUGUCGGGGAGGCCUGCAGUGGGGUCAGGGGCUGGACCCCGGGGAUAUGAAAACGUUUGUUUGAAGGUUACAGAGGACCUGAUCUCAGCUGCCCCUUCGCUUGCCUCUCAUGCAGCCUCUUCAUAUUCCUGAUUGUGUUGGAACAGGAGACUGGAAGGCAGUCAUGCCCUUCUUGUUCUGGUCCACAAGGGAUACUCAGCUCUAAGCACUCAGCCAGGGGUCUCAGGAUUACCCCAGGAGAUUGGCAACAGGCCAGCUGUUUGCCUGAUUUGGCUGCAGCCCCAGCCUGUCUUUGAGGUAUUUAGAAAGUGCAGCAUGAAUGCCUCUGGCCCAGCCCCAGCUGUGGGGAAAUAAAACGGACCACUUCUUACAAACCAAUUCUCAGUGUCAAGUUCAAUGUUACUCAUGUGGCCCUGACCCGAGAGCGUGUCCUCACAUGUAGACCAUCACUGACACAACUGCAGGACAAUUAGAGGUGUGACUUCUUGGAAACUUGAAGGCUCUGGGGCAUCACAGUCCAGAGGACACAGAACAACCAGAGAGAGCAUUCCCACAGUCCUCUGGGAUACUACAGUCCAGAGGACACAGGGCAACCAGAGAAAUCAUUUCCACAAUCCUCUGUGAUACUACAG